Long non-coding RNA from Dromaius novaehollandiae (emu), 453 nucleotides. RefSeq lists it as uncharacterized. NCBI's taxonomy places the organism in Eukaryota, Metazoa, Chordata, Aves, Casuariiformes, Dromaiidae. The transcript is spliced from 3 exons. The record is from RefSeq and is a predicted model, not a curated record.
CAAUACCUCUUAAAUGUGGUGUGAACUUCAGUGUGGCUUUUAAUGCUUCUGUAGGUUCAUAACUGCCUGGAGGACUUGAUCACUGGCUUAUGGACAAGGUGCAUGCCUUUGGAGGAAGACCAAAAUCAGCAGGCUAUGGCCGGACAGCUUCCGGAGGAGAUUGCCGAUGCUCUUGAACAGCAGUCGCUUCCAGAAGGCUCGCUUGGAGUUACAAAGCUUUGUUGCGGUGAGCUGAAGGAAGACAAACUGCGGUUGCAGGAGGAACUGGACAGGGUUAAAGCCAAGUUGCAGGAGUCGGAAGAACAGCGUGUUCAGUCCGAGCGUUGUGCUCAGGACUUGAAGACGGCCCUGGAAAAGAAACAAAGAGAAGUGGUAGCUGUUUCCCAGCAACUGCAAGACCUUCUGGAAGCCUCCUCAGGAACUGUUAGCCUAAAACCUCUGGAAGAACGAGUG